This 1287-nucleotide long non-coding RNA is filed under the name Ficedula albicollis (Collared flycatcher). Its description in RNAcentral is "lncRNA (ENSFALG00000023859.1)". Lineage: Eukaryota; Metazoa; Chordata; Aves; Passeriformes; Muscicapidae. The record is from RNAcentral.
GAAAGAGAGAAAAAGAAAGCUCAGAUGCAAGUUUUCUUUUUUUUUUGCUCAUGAAAAGCAAAGCGUGGAAUACAACAAAUUAAAUAGCCACCCGGUGAGAAAAAAGGGAGUGGAGUGAAAAAUGGGCAGGGGGGGAUAAAACCCAGAUGAAAAAGGCAGGCUGGUGCUGGAGGAUGCCAGACAGGUCUGGGAAUAGAGGCAUAGCAUGGCGGUAAAAUAAUUGUACCCCUUCGGCUGAAGUCCAGCGCCGCUUUCUGCCUCGCUGCCCCAAGCCUGCCAUCCUCUGUUAGCUCCUGCAAUAUUUUAUCCGCCAGCUCCGGCUCUGUUUCACCAGCAAUGGAGAGGACUAGAUUAAUUAGGAGAGAUCUCUCUCCCACAGCCAGCCCGGCUCUGCAGGGGGAAGGCUGGGAACUAUUUAAAGGGAUGAAGAUGUACUGCAGCAGCUGCCAUCUCUCUGGCUGGUAAUGUGCUCGCUCACCUAGCUGAAAAUUCAUCUCCUUUUGCCCUCUGCCAGUAAUUCCCAGCAAAUAAAAGCUGGUGAGCCCCAGGUUGAGCUCUGAGGCCAGCUGGGCUGGGCUGGGGGUUUGGGGAGAGCAGGUGUAAGGAAGGAAAUGGGAGAGACAUGUGUUGGGAUGAAGAUUGGAACAACUGCAAAACGUUCAGAACCUGAGCAUUGCUCUCGUUUAUGACAGCACUGCCCAUCUUGGGAACGGGGCUGCAGGAGCCCCAAAAUCCCAGGUGCCCCCACAGCCAGGAUGGACCCAGCACCGCUCCCCCAUUUCCCAGCUCAUUAAGGCCCAGCCUUGCCUUCGAGUGACACAGCUCGCUAACUCCGUCUCCCUCCCUCUGCAAACAAACAUUGGAUUUAAACCUGCUCAGAAUUCAGCGCAGACGGAAAGCAGCGGCGGCAGCAGCAAGCAGCAAGCAGCGCAGCCGCUCGCCUAGCGCAGCUCCAAGAUGAACCAUCCUGCCUGCUGGAUCGUCUUCACGGCCACCACUGCCCUGCUCUUCAUCCCAGACCCCACUGCAGAGCAGAAACCCCAGCUCAGCAGGAUUUUCCCUGUUGUGAUGGCACAGGAAGAGCUCUUUCCAUGCAAACAGCCACCUCUCCUGGCAUUGCUGGAAAACUUGGAUGUGUGUCCUAUUCCUUUUCCAAAGGGAGCUUUGUGGAGGCACAAAGGCAGCCUGUGGCUACCUUGCAGUGUGGUGACAUGGUUGAAGAGUGUCACAGAAGCUGAGUGUGCUCACAUCUUUCCUGGGAAGACUGCCUUGCAUACCCUGCUUUGA